This 974-nucleotide ribosomal RNA is filed under the name Salmonella enterica subsp. enterica serovar Typhimurium. RNAcentral describes it as "partial 23S ribosomal RNA". It matches the Rfam family "Bacterial large subunit ribosomal RNA", at positions 482 to 1369 of the family's 2925-position model. Lineage: Bacteria; Pseudomonadati; Pseudomonadota; Gammaproteobacteria; Enterobacterales; Enterobacteriaceae. The record is from RNAcentral.
GACCGAUAGUGAACCAGUACCGUGAGGGAAAGGCGAAAAGAACCCCGGCGAGGGGAGUGAAAAAGAACCUGAAACCGUGUACGUACAAGCAGUGGGAGCACAGGUUUACCUGUGUGACUGCGUACCUUUUGUAUAAUGGGUCAGCGACUUAUAUUCUGUAGCAAGGUUAACCGUAUAGGGGAGCCGGAGGGAAACCGAGUCUUAAUUGGGCGUUAAGUUGCAGGGUAUAGACCCGAAACCCGGUGAUCUAGCCAUGGGCAGGUUGAAGGUUGGGUAACACUAACUGGAGGACCGAACCGACUAAUGUUGAAAAAUUAGCGGAUGAUCUGUGGCUGGGGGUGAAAGGCCAAUCAAACCGGGAGAUAGCUGGUUCUCCCCGAAAGCUAUUUAGGUAGCGCCUCGUGAAUUCAUCUCCGGGGGUAGAGCACUGUUUCGGCUAGGGGGCCAUCCCGGCUUACCAACCCGAUGCAAACUGCGAAUACCGGAGAAUGUUAUCACGGGAGACACACGGCGGGUGCUAACGUCCGUCGUGAAGAGGGAAACAACCCAGACCGCCAGCUAAGGUCCCAAAGUCAUGGUUAAGUGGGAAACGAUGUGGGAAGGCCCAGACAGCCAGGAUGUUGGCUUAGAAGCAGCCAUCAUUUAAAGAAAGCGUAAUAGCUCACUGGUCGAGUCGGCCUGCGCGGAAGAUGUAACGGGGCUAAACCAUGCACCGAAGCUGCGGCAGCGAACGUAUCACCCAAGACAACUUUACGGAGUUGACGAUUGACGGAGCGAAGCGACGUCAAAGCGUUCAUUAAAGUCGAGUUGGCUUAGGGAUACGUUCGUUGGGUAGGGGAGCGUUCUGUAAGCCUGUGAAGGUGUGUCGUGAGGCAUGCUGGAGGUAUCAGAAGUGCGAAUGCUGACAUAAGUAACGAUAAAGCGGGUGAAAAGCCCGCUCGCCGGAAGACCAAGGGUUCCUGUCCAACGUUAAU